This 215-nucleotide ribosomal RNA is filed under the name uncultured bacterium. Its description in RNAcentral is "partial 16S ribosomal RNA". It matches the Rfam family "Bacterial small subunit ribosomal RNA", at positions 1286 to 1500 of the family's 1533-position model. The record is from RNAcentral.
UCCCAGUUCGGAUUGUAGUCUGCAACCCGACUACAUGAAGCUGGAAUCGCUAGUAAUCGCGGAUCAGAAUGCCGCGGUGAAUACGUUCCCGGGUCUUGUACACACCGCCCGUCACACCAUGGGAGUCGGAAAUGCCCGAAGUCUGCGACCCAACCUACGGGAGGGAGCAGCCGAAGGCAGGUCGGAUGACUGGGGUGAAGUCGUAACAAGGUAAC